UCCCUGGUAGUAUAUCGGUUUAGUACACGCGCCUGUCAUAACGGACCUCUACUACAGUUAUAAACGCGCGAAAGCUGGGUUCGACUCCCAGCCAGGGAG
Molecule: transfer RNA, 99 nt
Filed under: Lentinula raphanica
Lineage: Eukaryota; Fungi; Basidiomycota; Agaricomycetes; Agaricales; Omphalotaceae
Description: tRNA-Asp
Source: RNAcentral